ACCCUUGAGGAAUCACCUCGGUCAGCCUACAUGGGAACUGCCGGCUUGCCGGAUAUGGCGAUAAAUGAUGCCGUGAAAUAGACGCAGCGGACCCGGGGGCAGUACCCGGCGGCUCCACCAUUUCUUCAACCCGUUGUCGGGGCGAUGCAUGGGGCCGAACCAGAAUCGACGUGUGUUCAAAGACGAUAUUUUUGCCCGGCCUGAAUGAGCCGUAAAACCGUUCAAAACACCAUAAAUGCCAACGACAACGAGGCAUUCGCAAUCGCAGCGUAACCCGGUCCUCACGGACUGAGUUUCACUGGCCGAAAGCGCGGUACGGGCCACACCGGGCAACAGAAGUGGAUUCCA
RNAcentral lists this transfer-messenger RNA (348 nucleotides) under Sphingomonadales bacterium 28-64-96. It matches the Rfam family "Alphaproteobacteria transfer-messenger RNA". Rfam says of the family: Bacterial tmRNA, also known as 10Sa RNA or SsrA, is named for its dual tRNA and mRNA-like properties. Its role is to liberate the mRNA from a stalled ribosome. To accomplish this part of the tmRNA is used as a reading frame that ends in a translation stop signal. The record is from RNAcentral. Lineage: Bacteria; Pseudomonadati; Pseudomonadota; Alphaproteobacteria; Sphingomonadales.